Long non-coding RNA from Leptidea sinapis, 215 nucleotides. RefSeq lists it as uncharacterized. The record is from RefSeq and is a predicted model, not a curated record. Lineage: Eukaryota; Metazoa; Arthropoda; Insecta; Lepidoptera; Pieridae. The transcript has 3 exons.
GUCUAAUAUAUAAAAGAAUCGUGUCCCGGUGUUUGUCACCAAACUCCUCCGAAACGGCUGUACUUACCGACUUGUUGAAAUUUUAUGUGUAUAUCAGUUCAUUAUGGGCGUUCGGGACAGAGUCGUAUUUAUACCUACGAUUCUGAUAUUAUUAUUCUCGAUAGCGUGUGUGUUAAGUUUGCCCAAUAAGCAACAAAAUAAAGCAAAGCAUCAUC